Molecule: transfer RNA, 76 nt
Filed under: Bacillota bacterium
Lineage: Bacteria; Bacillati; Bacillota
Also listed under: 2 other names
Description: tRNA-Met
Rfam family: tRNA
About the family: Transfer RNA (tRNA) molecules are approximately 80 nucleotides in length.
Source: RNAcentral
CGCGGGGUAGAGCAGUUGGCAGCUCGUCGGGCUCAUAACCCGGAGGUCGUUGGUUCGAAUCCUUCCCCCGCAACCA